Molecule: ribosomal RNA, 505 nt
Filed under: uncultured Glomeromycotina
Lineage: Eukaryota; Fungi; Glomeromycota
Description: partial small subunit ribosomal RNA
Rfam family: Eukaryotic small subunit ribosomal RNA
Source: RNAcentral
CCAAUAGCGUAUAUUAAAGUUGUUGCAGUUAAAAAGCUCGUAGUUGAAUUUCGGGAUUGACACAUCGGUCGUGCCCUAAGGGGUAUGAACUGGUGUAGUCAGUUUCUCACCUUCUGGAGAACCGCGAUGUCCUUAAUUGGGUGCCGCGAGGAACCAGGACCUUUACUUUGAAAAAAUUAGAGUGUUUAAAGCAGGCAUUUUGCUUGAAUACAUUAGCAUGGAAUAAUAAAAUAGGACGGAUGGUUCUAUUUUGUUGGUUUCUAGGAUCACCGUAAUGAUUAAUAGGGAUAGUUGGGGGCAUUAGUAUUCAAUUGUCAGAGGUGAAAUUCUUGGAUUUAUUGAAGACUAACUACUGCGAAAGCAUUUGCCAAGGAUGUUUUCAUUAAUCAAGAACGAAAGUUAGGGGAUCGAAGACGAUCAGAUACCGUCGUAGUCUUAACCAUAAACUAUGCCGACUAGGAAUCAGACGAUGUUAAUUUUUUAAUGACUCGUUUGGCACCUUACG